AUAAACUGUAGAUUGUGACUUCCGCCCUACCUAGCUGGAAAACCCCAUGUAUAUUGACAAUUUCCUGUUCCUCGGAAGGGAACCAAGAUUUGACUGGUUGGUUUUGGAGUGGGACAUUUGACACUAUAUCGGUAAGGAUUGGCUCAAAGAGAAAAGCCUACAAAAGCUUUGUGCUGUAUUUGAAGGUGGGUCGUCCACUGUCUUCACAUUCGGCAGCAUGGCGGCCUUUUGGAGAUCGGCAAGUCAGCUGUCAAAUCAGACAUCUUUGACAAAAACUGCAGAGGAGGAAAACCGAGUCAUACUCUACCCACCUCAGGUAUGAAAGACAUUUUUUUUGUCAGAUGUACUGUUAGAAAACUCAUUUUAGUGUUUUGCUGAUCUGCUGACCAGUGGUAUUGCAUCAUUUGAGCCUUUGCAAAAGCACUGCAUGGCUUCUCUUAGUGGGCGAUGAACUUGCUGUUUUGUUUGUUUACAUAGAGGAUAUUACAUGAACAUGGCCACGUGGAGAUAUAAAAUUUCUCUUGGAGUGAAAUAUUUUUCAAGACAAGAAGAGAAAUUGUGUAUCUCCAAGUGGCCAUGUAAUGUUCACCUGGUAUUUAAUUGUUUUUUGUAUAAUAAAGUAAUAAAUUACAUGUAGGAUGCAAGCAUGAUGAACAUGUCAAGUUUUGAAUCAAAUUUUACCUUCUGGUAGUAACGAUGGGUAACGUAGUAAGUGUACAUUCUCCUCUCAGUUUCCUAAGUUGAUAUUAAUUACUGACUUCUUUUCACAAUGUUAUCUUAAAUUCAAGCAAGCAGGUGGUGAAGACAAACUAAGACUUUGUUGAUGUCUUGGUAAAACCAUGUUUCUGUAAAGAGAAUUGCUGAAAUUAAACAAUUAGUAAUACCUCAGACAAGGGAAUUUACAGUAUAGAAGGAAUUGCAGUAUAUAAAUGCUAAAGCUGACUUU
Long non-coding RNA from Orbicella faveolata, 946 nucleotides. NCBI's taxonomy places the organism in Eukaryota, Metazoa, Cnidaria, Anthozoa, Scleractinia, Merulinidae. The record is from RefSeq and is a predicted model, not a curated record.